UGGGGAAUUGUUCACAAUGGGCGCAAGCCUGAUGACGCAACGCCGCGUGGGGGAUGAAGGUCUUCGGAUUGUAAACCCCUGUCGAAUGGGACGAAAGACUCGCGAGUUAAUACUUCGCGGGAGUGACGGUACCGUUAAAGGAAGCCACGGCUAACUCUGUGCCAGCAGCCGCGGUAAUACAGAGGUGGCAAGCGUUGUUCGGAAUUACUGGGCGUAAAGGGCGCGUAGGCGGCCUACUAAGUCAGACGUGAAAUCCCCCGGCUUAACCUGGGAACUGCGUCUGAUACUGGAAGGCUUGAGUAUGGGAGAGGGAUGUAGAAUUCCAGGUGUAGCGGUGAAAUGCGUAGAUAUCUGGAGGAACACCUGAGGUGAAGACGGGUUGCUGGGCUGACACUGACGCUGAGGCGCGAAAGCCAGGGGAGCAAACGGGGAUUAGAUACCCCAGUAGUCCCUGAGCGGGCUGGCAAGGCGCAU
Molecule: ribosomal RNA, 474 nt
Filed under: uncultured bacterium
Lineage: Bacteria
Description: bacterial SSU rRNA
Rfam family: Bacterial small subunit ribosomal RNA
Source: RNAcentral